AUUGAACGCUGGCGGCAGGCCUAACACAUGCAAGUCGAGCGGAGGAAGGGAGCUUGCUCCUGGAUUCAGCGGCGGACGGGUGAGUAAUGCCUAGGAAUCUGCCUGGUAGUGGGGGAUAACGUCCGGAAACGGGCGCUAAUACCGCAUACGUCCUGAGGGAGAAAGUGGGGGAUCUUCGGACCUCACGCUAUCAGAUGAGCCUAGGUCGGAUUAGCUAGUUGGUGGGGUAAAGGCCUACCAAGGCGACGAUCCGUAACUGGUCUGAGAGGAUGAUCAGUCACACUGGAACUGAGACACGGUCCAGACUCCUACGGGAGGCAGCAGUGGGGAAUAUUGGACAAUGGGCGAAAGCCUGAUCUAGCCAUGCCGCGUGUGUGAAGAAGGUCUUCGGAUUGUAAAGCACUUUAAGUUGGGAGGAAGGGCAGUAAGUUAAUACCUUGCUGUUUUGACGUUACCAACAGAAUAAGCACCGGCUAACUUCGUG
RNAcentral lists this ribosomal RNA (484 nucleotides) under uncultured bacterium. RNAcentral's name for it is "partial 16S ribosomal RNA". It matches the Rfam family "Bacterial small subunit ribosomal RNA", at positions 30 to 507 of the family's 1533-position model. The record is from RNAcentral.